RNAcentral lists this long non-coding RNA (398 nucleotides) under Theobroma cacao (cacao). RNAcentral's name for it is "long non-coding RNA (TCAC_LNC002076)". The record is from RNAcentral. Lineage: Eukaryota; Viridiplantae; Streptophyta; Magnoliopsida; Malvales; Malvaceae.
UUUUAGAAGUGUUUACAGACCAAAUGGCAAAAGUAACGGACGAUUGGUUCAAAACAAAUGUCUAAAGAGAUGGUGCAUUCCAAAGAAGUGUGUCAAAGCCAAAAGUGCACAUAAUGAGGUUGUUCGAAGCAACGAUGUGCGAGAGGACGACCUUGAUGUAAAAGUGCAAUUCUUAGUAACGAGGGUAUUGCUGGAUUGAGUGGGGGAGGAUGUCAUGGCCCAAGAGUUCAAACCAGUUCAAGCAGGCCAAGCAACCCAACAAACAAUUGCCCAAGUCGGCUAGGCAACCUAGACAACAAGCCAGCUCACGUAGUGUAAUCUGAUUUGAACUUUGGAUUUGUAAAUGUAUAUCUAGGUUUAGAUAUAAAUUUAUUAAAUUAAAUUAAGAUUUGGAUUUA